UAGGGAAUCUUCGGCAAUGGACGAAAGUCUGACCGAGCAACGCCGCGUGAGUGAAGAAGGUUUUCGGAUCGUAAAACUCUGUUGGUAGAGAAGAACGUUGGUGAGAGUGGAAAGCUCGUCAAGUGACGGUAACUACCCAGAAAGGGACGGCUAACUACGUGCCAG
RNAcentral lists this ribosomal RNA (165 nucleotides) under uncultured bacterium. RNAcentral's name for it is "partial 16S rRNA". It matches the Rfam family "Bacterial small subunit ribosomal RNA", at positions 355 to 511 of the family's 1533-position model. The record is from RNAcentral.